UUUUAAUUACAGUGAAGCCAUUCCUGCUGUUCUGUUUCCCCUACAAGCUGCAGUCCUUGCAGUUUAGGGACUGCUGUCCCCAGAGUACAAGGGAGUUCCUUCCCUGUGUCUGAGGAAAAUGGUCCCCCUGGAAGUCAGGGAGAUGACCUGGGAUGUAGCAGCUGCAGAAUGGAUCAGUAUUUAAAUUGGUUGCAUUGUGUGAGCAGUGAGUGCAAAGAAUGGAAGACUUUUGGGAACUGCCUGUAUAGAGCAAGCCAUUAACAUACAGAUCUAGAAGCUGGCAGACUCUAUGGCAAAAUCCCAUUGGAUCAGACCUUGCACAGACUGCUAUUAUUCUACUGGGCAUAUAAUUUCUCAACUGAGAGACAUACAGUGAGACCUAGGAACUGUGUCAGAUGAUUUAUUCAGAUGUAGCAAGAUGUUUUUAAGUGGCAGUGUUUAUCUUUCUGAUAUGUGCAGAUUAGGGAAGAGGUAGUCACGGUACAGUUGUUUAAAACUCCAAAUACGUUUUAACUAGAUUUCAAUGCAUUUAAAGUAAAGACCAGUUAUUCAAAACAUAUUUGCGAAAAAUUCAAUGUGACAAAGUAAAUACUUACCAAUAAUUUAAAACAUUUGUUGAGUUUGAAUGUUGCAGAAUGUGUAUCUAACAGUAAUAAAA
RNAcentral lists this long non-coding RNA (658 nucleotides) under Coturnix japonica (Japanese quail). Its description in RNAcentral is "lncRNA (ENSCJPG00005009538.1)". The record is from RNAcentral. Lineage: Eukaryota; Metazoa; Chordata; Aves; Galliformes; Phasianidae.